RNAcentral lists this ribosomal RNA (428 nucleotides) under uncultured cyanobacterium. RNAcentral's name for it is "bacterial SSU rRNA". It matches the Rfam family "Bacterial small subunit ribosomal RNA", at positions 997 to 1426 of the family's 1533-position model. Lineage: Bacteria; Bacillati; Cyanobacteriota. The record is from RNAcentral.
CUCUUGGAAACGAGAGAGUGCCUUCGGGAACGCAGUGACAGGUUGUGCAUGGCUGUCGUCAGCUCGUGUCGUGAGAUGUUGGGUUAAGUCCCGCAACGAGCGCAACCCACGUCUUUAGUUGCCAGCAUUUAGUUGGGCACUCUAGAGAGACCGCCGGUGAUAAACCGGAGGAAGGUGUGGAUGACGUCAAGUCAUCAUGCCCCUUACAUCCUGGGCUACACACGUGCUACAAUGCUACGGACAAAGGGCAGCAAACUCGCGAGAGCUAGCAAAUCCCAUAAACCGUGGCUCAGUUCAGAUCGUAGGCUGCAACUCGCCUACGUGAAGGAGGAAUCGCUAGUAAUCGCAGGUCAGCAUACUGCGGUGAAUACGUUCCCGGGCCUUGUACACACCGCCCGUCAAGUCACGGAAGUCGGUAACACCCGAAG